UGUAUAAUGGGUCAGCGACUUAUAUUCUGUAGCAAGGUUAACCGAAUAGGGGAGCCGAAGGGAAACCGAGUCUUAACUGGGCGUUAAGUUGCAGGGUAUAGACCCGAAACCCGGUGAUCUAGCCAUGGGCAGGUUGAAGGUUGGGUAACACUAACUGGAGGACCGAACCGACUAAUGUUGAAAAAUUAGCGGAUGACUUGUGGCUGGGGGUGAAAGGCCAAUCAAACCGGGAGAUAGCUGGUUCUCCCCGAAAGCUAUUUAGGUAGCGCCUCGUGAAUUCAUCUCCGGGGGUAGAGCACUGUUUCGGCAAGGGGGUCAUCCCGACUUACCAACCCGAUGCAAACUGCGAAUACCGGAGAAUGUUAUCACGGGAGACACACGGCGGGUGCUAACGUCCGUCGUGAAGAGGGAAACAACCCAGACCGCCAGCUAAGGUCCCAAAGUCAUGGUUAAGUGGGAAACGAUGUGGGAAGGCCCAGACAGCCAGGAUGUUGGCUUAGAAGCAGCCAUCAUUUAAAGAAAGCGUAAUAGCUCACUGGUCGAGUCGGCCUGCGCGGAAGAUGUAACGGGGCUAAACCAUGCACCGAAGCUGCGGCAGCGACGCUUAUGCGUUGUUGGGUAGGGGAGCGUUCUGUAAGCCUGUGAAGGUGUGCUGUGAGGCAUGCUGGAGGUAUCAGAAGUGCGAAUGCUGACAUAAGUAACGAUAAAGCGGGUGAAAAGCCCGCUCGCCGGAAGACCAAGGGUUCCUGUCCAACGUUAAUCGGGGCAGGGUGAGUCGACCCCUAAGGCGAGGCCGAAAGGCGUAGUCGAUGGGAAACAGGUUAAUAUUCCUGUACUUGGUGUUACUGCGAAGGGGGGACGGAGAAGGCUAUGUUGGCCGGGCGACGGUUGUCCCGGUUUAAGCGUGUAGGCUGGUUUUCCAGGCAAAUCCGGAAAAUCAAGGCUGAGGCGUGAUGACGAGGCACUACGGUGCUGA
This 976-nucleotide ribosomal RNA is filed under the name Escherichia coli. RNAcentral's name for it is "partial 23S ribosomal RNA". It matches the Rfam family "Bacterial large subunit ribosomal RNA", at positions 609 to 1588 of the family's 2925-position model. The record is from RNAcentral. Lineage: Bacteria; Pseudomonadati; Pseudomonadota; Gammaproteobacteria; Enterobacterales; Enterobacteriaceae.